Long non-coding RNA from Epinephelus fuscoguttatus (brown-marbled grouper), 2613 nucleotides. RefSeq lists it as uncharacterized. The record is from RefSeq and is a predicted model, not a curated record. NCBI's taxonomy places the organism in Eukaryota, Metazoa, Chordata, Actinopteri, Perciformes, Serranidae. The transcript has 4 exons.
GAGAAGUGUAGUAUGUUGUGUGCACCGUAAUUACGUCCUCGCAACGGCAGUUAAAGUCCAGCACCUGGCUGAUGAGGGCGCAAGCUCUUACGGUGCGUUCAGCUUCAUGGACCAUCAGUCAGAGAGCCAGACCAUAAAUGAGCCGGGUGUGCUAUAAUGAGGGUUCCUCUGUGCAGUGCACAUCUACCAGACAGGGAUGCCCAGCCUCUCCAGUCAUCUUUACCUUAGCACUUGAGCCCCUUGCCUGUGCCAUCAGGGCUAAUCAGAACAUAACUGGUACAAAAUCAAUUGGACCAAGAAUGAGGCUAUCCCACUGAAUCGUCUUCCACACCCUGGCCAUCUGACCUCAGCCCCCAUUGUAUGGAGGUCUCAGGGCAUGAAAUACCUUGGAGUCACCAUUAAAUCACCAAUAGAUAGCAUCUUUGAGUUAAACCGUCCUAGGCUUCUGAAAACUAUCAGAGAUGGACAAAUUUACCGCUAUCACUGUGGGGGAGGGCAGAAGUACUUAAAAUGAAUGUAUUUCCAAGAUUAGCUUUUCUGUUCUCUUGCUUUUCUUCUGCAGUCCCACUGAAAUGUCCCCAGAACUGGUUCAAUGAAGUUAAAAAACUUUUUUCACUGUUCUUAUGGAAAGAUAAGGCACGGUAUGAGAUUGCUGCUUGUUCUCGCGAUAUUUCGGCCGCGCUUUGGAAAGCAGAGCUAAAUGGUAAACAAACAUGGCAGCACACCGGUAAGGUAAGACAACACGUUUACAUGUCGUUUUCUAUAUGUUCUCUGACAUUUAUCCUAACGAUAUGAGGCAGUCUUUGUGGAAAAAAAGCUUGUUUAGUGGACUAACUUUGCACUUGAAGUAUGCCCUUUCACUCAUGUUUUAAGAGGUCUGACGCUACUAUGCGCCUCGGCUGUAUCUAGGCUAACGGCUAACAUGCUAACUAUUAUUUUUAUGUCACUAGGCAUUUACCUAACAGUUUGACAACACCUCAUGUCAACUAUCGCUAACAAUUAAUAUGUCAAAGGGGUGGCGGCUUACUGGGUAAAGCACACGCUUCAGUGCCAAGAUUUUUGCCGCAGCUGUGCGGGUUCGACUCCGACCUGUGGCCCCCCGCUGCAUGCCACUCCCUCUGUCCCUCCCUCCCUCUUGCUUACCUGUCCUGUUAACUGUACUGUCAAUUAAAGGUUAAAAUGCCCCCAAAAAUAAUAAAAAAGAAUCCUUGCUAAUUUCAGCAGCUCUUUUUAAACACAUAUCGAUGGUUGAUGACUUACUUGAAAUUCAUUUGUAUUCUGUUGGGUGGCUUGGCACUUAAAUAGUCCGAGUUACAGCCAAAAGGAGGCAUAUUAGAUUCAUUUCCUCGUUACCUGCAUCCCCAAUGGGAUGACUGAGGAGAUUAUAUAUGUUUUUUUAUAAAGUGAAUAUGGAAACUGGCUGAAUAUAAAAGCAGCUUUGACAUCAGCAUUAACAUUCAACAACACCAGCAAAACAGGGAAUACUAAUUACAAGAAUGACAUUGGAGAUUUAGAAAUAUGCUGAGAUUACUCAGAGUGUAACAUUGAGUCAGUUAUAUACUCCAGAACCACACACCUCAGGUGCCAUCGCUUGAGGUGCAUGUUACAUUUUAACCAGUGUGUCAAAUGUGUAACAUCUAUGAAAUACCAGAUGAGUCAGUCAACUUUCUUAAACAUUCAAAAUAACUUUAAACACAACCACUGUAAAUGUGUUAAAGUGAUAUGGAUAACUAAUGCAGGGUUAGUAGCAUGGAGGUAGAGCACCGCCAUGUGGCAGGAGUCAGUACUGUCAGACAGACAGCCACCUCAGCUGCAGUCUACAGUCCUACUACUGACUGUACUGUUGAAGCCUUCUCUUUUCAUUUUCAUCUAAAAAAAAACCCAUUACAUUUACAAACACUCUAACAAACAUACUCGACCCACAAAAGCCAGACUUGCUGGAGGACAUUUUUGUCUCACAUAACUCAAUCAGAAUUUUAAAACAUAUAAUUUGUUUUAAUCAUAAUUUUACCCCAUCUCAGUCUGACCAAGCCUUUAAUUUGUGGAAGGAUAAAGGCCUGACAAACAGUUCAGAUCUGUACAUAAAUAAUCAUAUUGCAUCCUUUAUUGCGCUGAGAGAAACUUGCUCUCUUCCUCAAACCCAUUUUUCCCUGUUAUUUACAAGGCAGACAUUUUCUGGCACUCCCGAGAGGUGCACGUGCAGCUCGGCACAACACUGUAACUUUAUUGACACCUAUGAACAAUGGCACCACCAGGGGGUGGCCAGGGGUGGCCAUGGACCCCCUAUAAAUUUGCUGGCCACCCCACCAGGGUGCCAGUGGGGACCAGGCGUUAGUGCGACCUCCCAUAGCUCCAACUACACAUAACUCCACUAAUCUGACCAUGCAGGUCUAUGGCGAGUUUUAUCGUUUUAUUCCCAUAAUGUUGACCGCCCAUUAAUCCGACCAUUUUAAUGCCAUUAUUCCGACUGUCGGAUUUCAUACCCAGUAGUCCAACCGCCUGUUAGUCGGACCACAGCACUUCCAACACGAAGCAGUCUGUGCAUUUCUCCCUCACUGCGCCGGCACGGACUGUGAGGACAGUUGCGUUUAUCUCAUCAACGGGAAAUCACAU